Molecule: ribosomal RNA, 466 nt
Filed under: uncultured bacterium
Lineage: Bacteria
Description: partial 16S ribosomal RNA
Rfam family: Bacterial small subunit ribosomal RNA
Source: RNAcentral
GAUGAACGCUGGCGGCGUGCUUAACACAUGCAAGUCGAACGAUGAAGCCCAGCUUGCUUGGUGGAUUAGUGGCGAACGGGUGAGUAACACGUGAGUAACCUGCCCUUAACUCUGGGAUAAGCCUGGGAAACUGGGUCUAAUACCGGAUAGGAGCGUCCACCGCAUGGUGGGUGUUGGAAAGAUUUAUCGGUUUUGGAUGGACUCGCGGCCUAUCAGCUUGUUGGUGAGGUAAUGGCUCACCAAGGCGACGACGGGUAGCCGGCCUGAGAGGGUGACCGGCCACACUGGGACUGAGACAAGGCCCAGACUCCUACGGGAGGCAGCAGUGGGGAAUAUUGCACAAUGGGCGCAAGCCUGAUGCAGCGACGCCGCGUGAGGGAUGACGGCCUUCGGGUUGUAAACCUCUUUCAGUAGGGAAGAAGCGAAAGUGACGGUACCUGCAGAAGAAGCACCGGCUAACUCCGUG